UCAUCAACAAAAUACUGUGACAUUAGGUUACACCAGCUCGCCUGUACGUACAGGCCGGCACGCACACAUUCACACCCUGUUACACCACUUCGAGUGCAAACUUCACAUAGUUGACACAUUUAGGCGGCGAAAAAUAAAACAAAUAACGUCAUGUCUUGUGUGGUGAAAUGGUGUAAAAACCGUUCUGAUCGAACGAAUAAAAGUCAAGGAAUCACAUUUCACAGAUUUCCUAAUGAAAAUGAAAUAUGGAAAAAUGAUUGGAUUCAAAUAAUAAGAAAUUGUAACAACGACAACGAUUGGAUCCCAAGCAAACGUUGUGUCAUUUGCAGUUGUCACUUUGAAGAAAAUGACUUAUAUACGACUAAAGGAGGACGCCGGCGUAUUGUUACAUAUGCAUUGCC
Molecule: long non-coding RNA, 401 nt
Organism: Ostrinia furnacalis (Asian corn borer)
Lineage: Eukaryota; Metazoa; Arthropoda; Insecta; Lepidoptera; Crambidae
Exons: 2
Source: RefSeq, a predicted model, not a curated record